RNAcentral lists this ribosomal RNA (482 nucleotides) under uncultured bacterium. Its description in RNAcentral is "partial 16S ribosomal RNA". It matches the Rfam family "Bacterial small subunit ribosomal RNA", at positions 29 to 523 of the family's 1533-position model. The record is from RNAcentral.
AACGAACGUUGGCGGCAUGGAUUAGGCAUGCAAGUCGAGCGAGAAGUGUAGCAAUACACGGAAAGCGGCGGAAGGGAGAGUAAUACGUGGGAAUCUGCCCUUAGACCUGGGAUAGCAGCGGGAAACUGCUGGUAAUGCCAGAUAAUGUCUAUGGACCAAAGGUGUGAUUCCGUCUAGGGAUGAGCCCACGUCCUAUUAGCUAGUUGGUAGGGUAAUGGCCUACCAAGGCGAUGAUGGGUAGCGGGUGUGAGAGCAUGACCCGCCUCACUGGGACUGAGACACUGCCCAGACACCUACGGGUGGCUGCAGUCGAGAAUCUUCGGCAAUGGGCGCAAGCCUGACCGAGCGAUGCCGCGUGCGGGAUGAAGGCCUUCGGGUUGUAAACCGCUGUCGAGGGGGAGCAACUUCCAUAGAGUUAUCUUUAUGGAUUGAGUGAUCCCUGGAGGAAGGACGGGCUAAGUUCGUGCCAGCAGCCGCAGUAA